This is a non-coding RNA of Biomphalaria pfeifferi, 326 nucleotides long. NCBI's taxonomy places the organism in Eukaryota, Metazoa, Mollusca, Gastropoda, Planorbidae. The record is from the annotation of a GenBank genome assembly.
UCGCGAUAUGCGGUAUCGGUAACUGUGCAAGGUUUUUGGGGCCUUAGCCACUAGAUAAUGGUCCACUCUGCAGUUAACAAUGAGACGUUAUUCCUUUUCUAUAACUUAGGCCUUUUUUCCCCUCUGUUUAAACAAGUGUUCGUUCAUUUAUUUCAUAUUGGUAUAAACCUAACCAUUUUACAGGGAAGUGAGUGGGGGGAGUUCUAUAAUGAAAGUGUCAGUUUUAUAUCUUGCACUGUAUCACAUAGACAAGUAUAGACACGUAUGCUAUUUGAAGACAGAUGAAUUUUGCUUAGCUUUUAUAUAUAUAUAUAUAUAUAUAUAUA